Molecule: unclassified non-coding RNA, 328 nt
Filed under: soil metagenome
Description: partial contains 5.8S ribosomal RNA, internal transcribed spacer 2, and large subunit ribosomal RNA
Rfam family: 5.8S ribosomal RNA (bases 1-120)
Source: RNAcentral
GAUGAAGAACGCAGCGAAAUGCGAUAAGUAAUGUGAAUUGCAGAAUUCAGUGAAUCAUCGAAUCUUUGAACGCACAUUGCGCCCCUUGGUAUUCCGAGGGGCAUGCCUGCUCGAGCGUCAUUAUAACCCCUCAAGCUCAGCUUGGUGUUGGGGCCUGCUGCACUGGCAGCCCUUAAAAUCAGUGGCGGCGCCAUCUGGCUCUAAGCGUAGUAAUUCUUCUCGCUAUGGAGUCCUGGUGGAUGCUUGCCAUCAACCCCCAAUUUUUCUAUGGUUGACCUCGGAUCAGGUAGGGAUACCCGCUGAACUUAAGCAUAUCAUAAGCGGAGGA